AUUGAACGCUGGCGGCAGGCCUAACACAUGCAAGUCGAACGAGUGGCGGACGGGUGAGUAAUGUCUGGGAAACUGCCCGCUGGAGGGGGAUAACUACUGGAAAAGGUAGCUAAAACCGCAUACCAUCUGAUGUGCCCAGAUGGGGUUAGCUAGUAGCUGGGGUAACGGGUCACCUAGGCGACGAUCUCUAGCUGGUCUGAGAGGAUGACCAGGCACACUGGAACUGAGACACGGUCCAGACUCUUACGGGAGGCAGCAGUGGGGAAUAUUGCAAAAUGGGCGCAAGCCUGAUGCAGCCAUGCCGCGUGUAUGAAGAAGGCCUUCGGGUUGUAAAGUACUUUCAGCGAGGAGGCGUUAAUCGCAGAAGAAGCACCGGCUAACUCCGUGCCAACAGCCGCGGUAAUAC
RNAcentral lists this ribosomal RNA (406 nucleotides) under uncultured bacterium. Its description in RNAcentral is "partial 16S ribosomal RNA". It matches the Rfam family "Bacterial small subunit ribosomal RNA", at positions 30 to 526 of the family's 1533-position model. The record is from RNAcentral.